Nannospalax galili (Upper Galilee mountains blind mole rat) is the source of this 166-nucleotide small nuclear RNA. Its record names the gene U1. It matches the Rfam family "U1 spliceosomal RNA". Rfam says of the family: U1 is a small nuclear RNA (snRNA) component of the spliceosome (involved in pre-mRNA splicing). Its 5' end forms complementary base pairs with the 5' splice junction, thus defining the 5' donor site of an intron. The record is from Ensembl. Lineage: Eukaryota; Metazoa; Chordata; Mammalia; Rodentia; Spalacidae.
AUACUUACCUGACAGUGGGGAUACUGUGAUCAAGAAAGUGGUUGGUUGUCCUAAGGUGAGGUUCAUCCAUUGCACGCUGAAUGUGCUGACCCCCUAUGAUUUCCCCAAGUGUGGGAAACUCGACUGCAUAAUUCGUGAUAGUGGGUAAUUUGUUAAAAAAAUCUUU